AACGCACAUUGCGCCCCGUGGUAUUCCGCGGGGCAUGCCUGUUCGAGCGUCAUUAUGACCAACAUCACGCCUGGCGUGGUCUUGGGGCUGGCAACUCUGCCGCCCUCAAACGCAGUGGCAGCGCCGCAUGGCUCUUAGCGUAGUAAUACUCCUCGCUAUAGGGUCCUACGGUUGCCCGCCAGCAACCCCCAAUCUUUACAGGUUGACCUCGGAUCAGGUAGGGAUACCCGCUGAACUUAA
RNAcentral lists this unclassified non-coding RNA (240 nucleotides) under Ascocoryne sp. RNAcentral describes it as "partial contains 5.8S ribosomal RNA, internal transcribed spacer 2, and large subunit ribosomal RNA". The stretch from base 1 to 52 matches the Rfam family "5.8S ribosomal RNA", at positions 103 to 154 of the family's 154-position model. Lineage: Eukaryota; Fungi; Ascomycota; Leotiomycetes; Helotiales; Gelatinodiscaceae. RNAcentral also lists the same sequence under 2 other names. The record is from RNAcentral.